RNAcentral lists this ribosomal RNA (855 nucleotides) under uncultured archaeon. RNAcentral's name for it is "bacterial SSU rRNA". It matches the Rfam family "Archaeal small subunit ribosomal RNA", at positions 4 to 828 of the family's 1478-position model. The record is from RNAcentral.
UUCCGGUUGAUCCUGCCGGACCUGACUGCUAUUGGAGUAGGACUAAGUCACGCUAGUCAAAGGUGCGGAAUGGAGCACCUGGCGUACGGCUCAGUAACACGUAGUCAACCUGCCCUAAGGACGAGGACAACCACGGGAAACUGUGGAUAAUCUUCGAUAGGAAAUUUGGCCUGGAACGGUAUCUUUCCUAAAUCCGCUUCGCCGUGAAGUACGGGCCUUAGGAUGGGGCUGCGGCCGAUUAUGCUAGAUGGCGGUGUAAAGGACCACCAUGGCGACGAUCGGUAUGGGCAAUGGAAGUUGGAGCCCAGAGUCGCUCACUGAGACAAGGGAGCGAGCCUUACGAGGCUUAGCGGUCGCGAAAACUCGCCAAUGCACGAAAGUGUGAGUGGGCUACUCCAAGUGUCAUUCUUACGGAUGACUGUCGCUCAGUCUUACCAGCUGAGAAAGGAAGGAGAGGGCAAGGCUGGUGCCAGCCGCCGCGGUAAAACCAGCUCUUCGAGUGGUCAGGACGAAUAUUGGGUCUAAAGCGCUCGUAGCCGGACAUGUGGGUUCUUGGUUAAAUCCGACAGCAUAACUGUCGAUCUGCUGGGAAUACCGCAAGUCUUGGGAGCGGGAGAGGAUAGAGGUAGUCGUAGGGCAGGGGUGAAAUCCAGUGAUCCUACGGCGACCACCGAUGGCGAAGGCAUCUAUCUGGAACGUCUCCGACGGUGUGGGGCGAAAGCUAGGGGAGCGACCCGGAUUAGAUACCCGGUUAGUCCUAGCCGUAAACGAUGCCGACUAGGUGUUACUGCGGCCAAGAGCCGCUGUAGUGCCACAGCGAAGGCGUUAAGUCGGUGGUCAUAGGCUGUUUCCUGA